GGUCGGGACGAUUAUUGGGCCUAAAGCAUCCGUAGCCGGUUCUACAAGUCUUCCGUUAAAUCCACCUGCUCAACAGAUGGGCUGCGGAGGAUACUAUAGAGCUAGGAGGCGGGAGAGGCAAGCGGUACUUAGUGGGUAGGGGUAAAAUCCGUUGAUCCAUUGAAGACCACCAGUGGCGAAGGCGGCUUGCCAGAACGCACUCGACGGUGAGGGAUGAAAGCUGGGGGAGCAAACCGG
This 237-nucleotide ribosomal RNA is filed under the name uncultured bacterium. RNAcentral's name for it is "partial 16S ribosomal RNA". It matches the Rfam family "Archaeal small subunit ribosomal RNA", at positions 490 to 727 of the family's 1478-position model. The record is from RNAcentral.